GACAAUCAAUUUUAUAUUAAAGGUGGUGUUUCAAUAGUAAUAUCCAUUUUCUGUUCUCAUCAUGAAUUGAGCAGCAGAAUAAAAAGGCCACAUAUGCUAAAGAGAGUUGGUCCACGAAUCACAAGAGAGACCAACAAACCCGACCACAGGAACUGGAUUGGCUUGCAGACAAUCAACCUACCCGAAGUAAAUUGAUACCUGAGGAAUGUCAAUAUCAUUAUCCUCAUCAUCCUCACAUGCCACCACAACAUCCAAGUGAGACCGGUAUGCAGGUAGUUCCACCUUGGCCACUUCCCGGGCCAGAUCCACUACCUUCUUGUCCAUUCGCUCCCUGUGUCGAGGGAACAUACUGUUGUAGAGCAGGCAACUUCCACAUGAGAUACUAUAUGCAUUCAGCCCCUUGUCCUUGAGCCAUUGGAGAAGUUCCCUUAGAGUCGGAUUGUCUUUGAGGAUCCACCUGUCCCAAACAGUCCAGCUCAUAUCCCGGUGCUUGAUGACUUUGGGCGGGACUGGCUCAGCCAUGGAGAAAAGUGGGAGGGCUAGGUUGGCAAAUGUGUUGCGAUAGUCUUCCAGUUUGUGCCCUCCAUCCAAAACCUUGUACAGUUCAAGGCAGACAAGACCCGUGGCCAUUGCUGUGGAGGUUGCAAUCGCAGGGAUAAUCCUCCCAGCAAUGAACUUGGCUUUCAGUUUGUCAACUUCAGGAAUGCUGUAGUUCCUCGCCCUCAUGUUUGCAAGACCGGCUAUCAGGUCCAUAUGGUAAUUUGUAUCAUCAUCCUGCACAUUACAUUUAUGGGACCAUAUUAAGGAGAGUUAAAACAAAACAUAGGGCGUUUUCCACACCAUCUACCAGAUGUGCCAAGUUUAACACAGUUUAUUCAAACACCUGUGAGUGUUUCGAAAUUUCUAAAAAUGCAAAAAGGAGACGAACCUUCUCAAACUGAAUUGGGUUCAUCCUGAACCCUGGUGGCAGACUCUUCCAGCUCUGCUCUAUCUUAGCAAGUAGUUCAUUGAUGACUGCUGCAUCAUCUACAGAUGCAGUAGAAAGGCUAGUAGCCUUCUCAUCGGUCACAAUCUUCACAUCAGUCUUUGGCUGAAAUUCUGGCACUAUCACCUUAUCAACAGCUUCAGCCAACUUCUUAGGAUGCUUGGCCCAGUCAGGAAUUGGGAUGCCAAAUGUCUCAGCCCGUAGAAUGGAUGCCGCCAUGACAAAAUAGAGGUGACCAGCAUCAGCAGCUGAGAACUGUAAUGGAUGAGGGAAUCGCUUGGGAGCUGACCAGAAUGGAGCCCCAGUGCUGGUUGCAGCAUCCUCAGGAAAAGUAAAAAUCAACUGCUUAACACGGUUAACAAAAUAAUCUUCAAACCUGUUAAAUAGAAGGCAGUGAGAAAUCAGCACAGAGAACAUAGUGUGUAGGGAAAUGACAAAUAUGAUCAAUUACACGGGAAAUACCUGAGACGGGCCCAGGUGAUACAGUCCUGGAAUGUCUCACAUCUCUCUCUCUCAAGGCAUUCGAGAACACGUUCCAGGUUAUCCCUAGCUUGAGCAUCACCAGCAUUCCUCAUUGCAGAUGCAUAUUCAGUUGGAUUAGACAAAAAUGCAUUCACUUCUGCUGGCGUUUUCUCAAGCAAACCCUCAAACUCGGAUCGAGCCCAUGUCAAGCAGUGGUCAAUAUUGUGUGGGAAAGAGUGCACCGUGCACAUGGGAGCUUGUUUCUCAGGUGGGUCUCUUGAGGCACCAUAAUUUUCUGUCAGGUGAGGAAUUACCAUCUGCGUGUUGCAUUUGGCACCCAGAGUUCCCGACUCAAGCAGCGGUUUCUGGAAAUACAAGCACCUCUGAUCAACAUACAACCUCGCAUUGACAUUGUCUAGUGCAUUGAUAACGACACUCAAAUUCUCCCAAAAGGCAUCAUUAAACACAUUCUCUGUCUCAGGGCCCACACGAUUUUGCAAAGCUUCAAUGUGGAGACAAGGAUUUAUUGUUUGAGCAGCAGAAGCAGCAACAGUGGAUUUGGCCUGCCCAAUGUUCCAAUCACGGAAGAGGAACUGCCUACUAAGGUUACUCUUCUCAAUCACAUCAUCAUCAGUAAUUGUUAGCUUCCCUUGAUUGCCACAUGAAACUCCCAUCAGAGCUACAUUUUUUAAGAACUCACAACCUAGUGCACCAGAUCCUACCAUGAAAACUACAGCAUCCUCCAGUUUCUUCUGUAGCUUAGACCCAAACACCGAAAUCUGUGCAUCGUAUCGGCUAUUCAAUGGUUUGAAAUCACUGGAAUCUGGUGCCUCUGUAGGAAGUGACUCCACUGAGUCGAAGUAGAAGAACUGCAAAAGCAAGUAACAACAAUGUUAAUUCACCAGCAAAAGCAAUCAAGUAUCAUUAUGGAACUCAAAGCAAUGAAAAAAGUGGAGAUAGAUGCUUGUGACUAACCAAUAUACAUAUAGAACAUAUCAAUGUGUAAUUUCCAAUCUAAAUAGAACAAAUCAAUGAAUUGAAAGUACAAAACCUGAAAAAGUGGAUGAAACUUUCCAGAGCAUGCCUUCACAACCUCCUGUCCUACAAUACCACCAAACAUAGCAGCCAUGGGAUUCAAUACCGCCCUGGCACCAAAAGCAAAGUGCCGCAAAAGUUUUGGAUUAAUAUCUUCUAGUUUCCCAUCUCCCAAGCCCUCAUUGAUGUUACUGGAUAUGAAUAUCAGUUUCUGAGCAUCCUCCUCAGAACCAGCAACAGGGAAGCGUCCCAACUCGGAUAUAAACCUGUCAAGCGCUUGGAAUGCCAGAUGUAGGAGGGGUGGGCGAUCAAACUUGGAGAAAUCGCUCAGAAGAAAAUCACCAGGAUCACUGAGUGCUUCUCUCAAUGGCUUAAAGUUCAAGACCUUGGGCUGUUUCACCUGUGUGACAAUACCACCUUUCUCGUAGGUACCAAAAUUUGUGGUGUCCUCCUCAAGAGUAAACGAAUAUGGCCUUGCAUUUUUUAUCUUUCUUGGCUUUCCAUCAUUGAGUUCUGUCAUUCCAUGGACUUCUGAGAAUACAACAAGAUCCCCAUCCUGAAACUCAAGCCUCUCAUCAUCAACACAUGACACCAGUGCAGGAUUAUCAUUGCUAAUGGAUGCAAUUAUACCCGUGUGUGGUUCCUCUCCAUCAACAUCAAAAACUGUGAAUUCAGGACCAAAGUCACAAAACACUGAACCAAAAAGGCCUCUAACUUCAGCCUUGAUGAAAGCGAUAGGAGGCUGAUGACUAUGGCAGUAAUCAUUGAACUCGAUAGCUUUCUCAAAAUAGAUAUCCGUAAAUACAACAGCCUGCAUCAUGCAUAGAAAAAAAUAGCCACUCAGAGGUAAACAAUCAUUAGAUAAUCUUAUCAACAGUAGCAAGUAGCAACAUAUAACACGCAGUCUCUAUGCAACCCCCACACGACCAAACACUAACCCCCACCACCCACACACAAGCAAUGGAACAAAAAUAUAAGUCAAAAAGCACAAUAUGAUGUCAAAAAGGCCCUACACCCUGGAAGUAGAAAACUACUCUUAUAUCUGAACUCCUUGUCACCAAAACAAAAAUAUAUAAUGAUGGAAGUGACAGUUAAUUCAUUCCAUUUAACAUUAUUCAAACAAGAAAAAGUGGUUACAGCUCAUUCACAAUCUAUUUUUCAAUCUAAUUGGUCAAAAGUUCUCAUCUGUCUGCACUGCAUCAUUUUGCUAGACUUAGAAUUUAUUUGAAACUAUUCAAACCCCUUUAGGGUGCCAUUCCACUUGAAAUGCAGGCCCAAUACAAACACAAAGAAGACCUCGCUCAAUAUAAUGCUCACUCCCCAAUAAAGGAAUCAUGAAUAAAGCUAAGCAUGAUGAGGGCGCCAUCUGUCUACAGAACUCAAGGUCACCAUCAAGUAUACAGACAGCUAAAUUUCGGAGGCUGGAGAAUUUUGUGUAAGAUCUGCCCCUUGCUUUUGUGCAGCUGGAAAAAACAAAGAAAAUUCUAAUAUUUUGACCUCCCAAUAGGAGUUGUGAAGGUAAGGGUUCUGACCAGACUUAUCAUGCCAGUUCCCUUGGUUAAAGGGUAGAAUCUUUGAAGGGGUGGAAUUGUCAAAGCUGAAAGAUGUUUUCCUGCACUUUUGGUUGAGGGAUUCUUUUGCAAAAAAGAGUGUCAUAUCUGAAGUUUAUCGAUUUGGUGGAGAUGGCUUGAGGCCAUUGGUCUAACCUUUUCUUAAAGUCAUUCAACCUUUUACUUUUGCUUGGCACACAUAAAUAGACUCAACCUCUAUAUGGCACUUUUCUAUAUAUUAUCUAUUUGCUUAUAAAAAUAGAAAAGGCUCCCUUGGCUAAAGGGUUCUCACUUUCUACCAGUUGCAAUACGAGAAUACUAACAUGCUGCCAUCUUAUUGUGUACUUUGUACGUCAAGAGGCAAUGCAAAAAUAAAAAAUAAUAAACAAGAGGCUUUUUUUUAUAGGUAAAUAAGCAAAAUAUAUUAAAGGUGCUUGCAAAAACGCACAACAAAGUGCACAGGAAGUAUGCAUAUAUGGCCCAAAGGCAAGCAAGAAAAGAAAAGAGAAAGACUAAAAACCACCUUCCCACCAACACCAAGCUCCCACAGCGGUUGGAAACCCCCAAGCAGAAACCUAAAGACAAAAACAAAAACCCCUACUCGAAACAAACAAAAAACCCUUAGCAAAAUAAAUUAAAUACCAGUGGCCAGCAGAAACCCCUGCUGUUAAGUCCCCACCCCCCUCCCCUUUCCAUUUACCGUGGACGGAACACUACUGUAAUUGACUAAGCACUUGAGCCUUCAAAUUUCCUUCUCAAGACUUGAAGAGGACAUGGAUUUUUGCCCUCCCCUGAGACACCUUAACCCCGUGACCUUUCUUCGCUUCCAAUUUUCUAAGAAGAAAGCUGAUUUCCUUUUCAAAACCCAAAACCGGCAACCCCAAACAAUUGGAGAACUUGACAAAACUGUUGGGAAGACACACAAAACAAAAGACCCUUCAUGUAGAUCCUAACCAAUUAAUAAAAUUUAUCAUGGUUAGGGAAACGUCAUCUAUAUAUCCUACCCACAAUAGAAGGUUGCAAAGAAAAAUUGACUUAAGAAUUCGAUCAAACAUUUCUUUACUUUCGAAUGCUCUCUGGUUUCUCUCCUUCCACCAAAACCAAAAUACGCACAACUAGAUAACCCUCCACACCACCUUUUGAAAUAAAAGAGCCAUGCAACCCAAGAGAAAUUUCCCAACCGAACUUAAUAUCACCCUAACAAUCCCAAACAAGGAAAGCACCAAAUUCCAUAACACUUCAACUCUAACAUAAUGCAAAAGGAUGAUUCUUCAUCAUCCUUACAAUGAAAGGAUUGAUUUACCAAAGACCAAUCCCUCCUCCUUUGCAUCCUAUAAAUGUCAAAACCUUUCCCCAAUAAGCACCCCACCAAAAGAAGAAGAGAAAAAAAACAACUUUAGGUGAAGCCAUGGAUUGAAAAAUCGUUUUUUAUCGACGACAUUUUGCCGAUAUAUCGGAUAUUGGAUGGCCCUGAAAGGAUAUUGAGCACCAAUUAUCAAAGACGAGGAAUAUCAGGAAAAUUGGCGAAAAAAUUGAGCGUGAAGCAACGCACGGAGUAGCAAAGAAAGCCUGUCAAAAUAUCAAAGAUAUAUCAACGAUAUAUCGGAUAUAUCUACGAAUAUAUCGGAUAUAUCUGGGAAAUAUCGGAGAUUUUUUUGAAAGCUUUUUUUAAAAAAAUAUUUAUCCUUUUUUUACUUUUUAAUUAUUCAUUUUUAAUUUAUUUUUUAUUUUAAAUCUAUAUUAUCAUUUUAUUUUUAACUACUUUUUAUAUUUAUCUCAUUAAUGUUAUUUUAAAAAAUUACUAUCACUUCAUUCUUUUUUUUAUCCGUUUAAUUUUAUUUAAUUUAUAUUCAUUUAUUUAAAAUAUUAAAAUAUAAUUUUACUCAAAAAUUGCUACAAUAUAAAAAAAAUUAAUAAAGUCCUAAUAUUCUAUAAAUUAAAAUUAAUUUGAUAAGAAAAAUUAGUAAUAAUUUUAAUUAUUUAAAUGAUAAUAGAAAAUUUGUCACUUAUAAUAAAUUUUUAGAAAUCAAAUCUCAAAUAAAAUAUUUUAUAUAAAUCAAUUUCAUUUUUUAUUUAAAAUGUAAUAAAAUAUGUUUUAAUAAAAGUAUUUUAAUUUUUAAAAUAAAUGAAUAUAAAUAUAUUAAAGGAAUUUAUGCUAAUUUUUUAUAAAAAUUUGAUAAAUAUUAUAUGUACGAUUAAAGAUAAUAUUUAUCAAAUUUUUAUAAAAAAAUUAGCAAUACUUAUUUUAUCUUUUUUUUUUUUUUGAGUUUUUUCAAGCAUUCUUGUGAAUUUUGAAUAAUUUUCGUCUCAUCGAUAUUUUUGUCGAAAUAUCCACCGAUAUAUCCGUAUUUACCAAUAUUUUAAUCCUUGGGUGAAGCCAUCGCAAGCCAAAUAACUUUUGUAAGGAAAUCUUCCACUCUUUCCAAUCCCAAGAAAUUUUAGAAGGAUUUGACUGAAAAAUUACCCUCUUUGCUUGCAUCCAAACCAUCAUGUCUUCCCAAUCCCUAUUCACAACCUUGCCUUGAAGUAUUAAAAGGAAGGCUUCAAGCCUCCCCAUCUCCCAUUUAUUCAAAUUCUUUUAGAAGCUAGUGUUCCAAUGCCCACCCUCAAUUUAUUGAUCCCACACAUCAACCACCAAAGAAUCCUUUGUCAAGAGACUCUUUUAAAGAUGAAUCACCACACCAUCUAUCAUUCCAAGACUUCCCACACAUCAACCACCCAAGAAUCCUAUCAUAAGACUCUUUUAAAGAUGAAUCACCACAACAUUUAUCAUUCCAGAUUUUCAUCUUCUCCCAUUGUCCACUUUGAAUGAGGUUUUCCUAUUGAUAUUCUCCCAAACUCAUAUGAUGGUCUUCCACAAUCCAAUUAGAAAACUAUCCCUACUUUCCAUGGAACGCCAAUCCCCUUCCUCCUAACCAUACAUCCCAACAAGAACCCACUUCCACAAGGAUCCACUUUUUGAGAUAAACCUUCAAUUCCACUUACCUAGCAAAGCCUUAUUGAGAACCAAGUAUGGUUUUUAAUCCCAAAGCCUUCCUUAUUUGAUCUCGGCAAAUGAUAAUCUAUCUCACCAAGUAUGGUUUUUUCUCUAACAAGCCUCCACCCCACAAAAAACUUCUUUGAAUCUUCUCGAUCCCCCCUUUCAAUCCCUCCCCAUCUCACGUUCAUGAGUAUGACAAAAGGAGACAUGCUAAAUGGGCAAGCUUGAUAGAGUACUCUUAUGAGAGUGAGUCGUCCCCCACCUUUAGAAAGAUUAUUGUCUUUUCUACAUAGUUAGCCUCUUAUGGACACUCUCUUCUACCAAUAGCCAACCAACCCUCGACUAAUAAGGAGCUCCUAGGAAGAAGACCCAAAUACACAAUGGGAAGAAUUAAAGAAACCAAACAAAAAGAAGGGGGCGACCCUAAGGACAUGGGAGGUAUACAAAGGAUGCCAAAGCGUUUACAUUCUUUGAAAUGGAGACUUCCAAAGCCUCUACAUUCUCCCUACCCUACCCUACCCCACCCAAAGACUCUAAUGUCAAACCCGUAAUACUCCAAUCUCCUAAUUUAAAUAAUAGGUUUCAAAAGGACUAAGUUACUCCUCCCUUUUAUCUCCUCCUCCCUCAAAAGCCAACUACCAUUUAUCUUGACUCUAGCCAUGAAAUUACUCAUUUGGUGAGCUUUCGCCAUGUUGUAGGGGGAAAAAUAGCAUUUAUGUCCCCUUCCCUCAACCAAAGUUCCAUUGGUUUCUACCUCCAAGAUGCUUCUUCCCACAAGGCCAAAUGAUAAUACUCCUCCAUGGUUAUCCUUCUAGCUUCAACCUCUUCAUCAAAAAGGGUCAUUUCACUUUCUUUGGCAUCCCAUUGAUAAUUUUUUUCAAUUUUAUCGAUAUUUCCAUUGAUAUCCAUAUUUCAAUUGAUAUUUCUAUAAAAUCAAUUCGUCGAUGUUUCUAUCAACAUCAACCUUUUCAUCAUUGGAUAUUAUCAAUCGGAAGUAAAUUCAAUGUAUGGAAAAAAAAUUGCAUUAUAUGAUUUUCUUUUAAGAGAGACAAUCAAUAUAAGUGCGAACCCAAAAAUUUCAC
Molecule: long non-coding RNA, 8094 nt
Filed under: Vitis vinifera (wine grape)
Lineage: Eukaryota; Viridiplantae; Streptophyta; Magnoliopsida; Vitales; Vitaceae
Description: long non-coding RNA (VVIN_LNC001770)
Source: RNAcentral